This 6686-nucleotide long non-coding RNA is filed under the name Homo sapiens (human). Its description in RNAcentral is "HSALNT0118998". The record is from RNAcentral. Lineage: Eukaryota; Metazoa; Chordata; Mammalia; Primates; Hominidae.
GGAAGCAAAGCUGACCACGACUCAGUAUAUUUAACAUCAGGAAAUCAAAACUGAGGAUAGAAAAAUGCGCAAAGUGAAGGAGGUUUUUUCAAGAUUACGUGGUUUAUGAUAAACUAAAGAAUGAAAGUUGAAGAAUUAAAAGACAUAAACCGAACUUUAUUUUUUAUUCUAAUGGUAAUGAUGGAAUUUCUGAUCAAAAACAAUCUUAAAGAGAGUCAAAUGACAUAUGGGCUUAUAAAGCUUUAGCAUACCAUAACCUACCACCCUUUUCAGGCACAAUGAAAAAAGAAGUUGGAAAAGCAUCCACCUAUUGCCUGCAUGUAACAGAGCUCUGAGAAAUCAGCCUUUUAAUAAAAAGUACAGUCCUCAAAGUCUAAAUGCCUAUCUAGCCCUUUCAUAUUAUGAUACGUUCUGUUAGAAAUCAGUUUUCUUUCUUGCCUUUCAUGCAUUAUUACUUCACAUUAGUUCAAUUUUCCUUUGUCUUGCUUCUAGGUUUUUCAGUCACCCAACCUUUUCUUUUAUGAAGGCCUCUAUUGUUUUUUAUAAUUAUCACUGUAAUAAUACAAAUGAGUUUAUCAAACUUGUUUCUCAGUCUCCUUUUCUCCAUGAGUUGGUAAUUAAUUUGUUAACAUGUUGGCAUCAUGUUUUCCAUGAAUCUGGCUCCAUCCAUGAACCACUGAAUAUCCUCCUGCAUUUAUGAUGCUUGCCUCAAAUCACUGUUUCCUGACUUAGUAUUUUCUGGCAUCAAGACAUGAAACAAAAAGUAUCGGCUGGGCGCGGUGGCUCACGCCUGUAAUCCCAGCACUUUGGGAGGCCGAGGCAGGCGGACCACGAGGUCAGGAGAUCGAGACCGUCCUGGCUAACACGGUGAAACCCCCUCUCUACUAAAAAUACAAAAAAAUAACUGGGCGUGGUGGUGGGCGCCUGUAGUCCCAGCUACUCGGGAGGCUGAGGUGGAAGAAUGGCAUGAACCUGGGAGGUGGAGCUUGCAGUGAGCCAAGAUCGUGCCACUGCACUCCAGCCUGGAUGACAGAGCGAGACUCCGUCUCAAAAAAAGAAAAAAUUAAUAGUAUCAUAACUAUAUCCCACAUCUUUAUGAAAUAAGCUGGUUUCCCUCAGAGCCACCAGUGCUGCUGUGUCAUAAAAUCUGAUAGAUACUGCCCUUAUCAUUAUUUCUGAAAACACCACAAACUUAUUUCAGUUAUACAAUCUAUGUGACUUGUGUUUUUAUCUCAAGGGUAAUCUCCCUUACUUAAAAUCUGACACAUUUUUAAUUAAUUUAUUUGUUUCUACAUUCAUUCAAAACAUACCAAGAUUUUUAUAUUGCCAGGUUCUUUAUAAAUGCUGCAAAUAUGACAUGAAUAGAGUAAAGAGGUCCUUUGCCUCAUGAGAUGAUAAAUCUAUUUUCUAGAAAUGACAAAUUUUUAACAAGUAAUUCUAUGUGUGAUAAAUGCAAUAACCAAGAGUGCUCUAAGUGCUUUGCAAGCAAAAGUUAAGAAGUCAAAUUUGGUCUUGAAUUUUAUAUUGAGGAUAUUUAUUCCUAUUUAAUUAGAUAAGGAACACUGAAGAAAGAAGAGGUUGCCUUAAAGAUAGCAGUCAGGAUUGGCUACCUAAGAGGGCCAGUAGAAGAUAAAAAUCAGAGCUCCUUAUACAAAAAUUAUUAUGAAUUUUAAGACUGCAAUAGCAGAUCAUUAAACCAAGUGUGUGAUCCCCAAAACGUGAGGUCCUGUGCGACUGCACAUGUCACAUGCCAUGAAGUCAGCCCUCACGCCUAUGAAGCAUCCAGGAAUAUAUGUCAAGCAGGCAGUAGAGUAUACCAGUCUGGAGCUCAAGAGAAAUAUUUUGUUAUAGACAUUUGCAAGUUGUGACAGAUUAAAGAUAGCCAUAAAUUGUCACUCUAAAAAAUCAAGAAAUGGAGUUUAUUUAUCUUCCUCCUUGAAUGUUAGCUGGCCCUAUGAUGGUUUAAUCAAUACAGUGAUGUAAAAGUGAUGUUGUGGUAGUUCUAGGCCCAGCCUUUAAAAGCACUGCUGCUUCUCUCUUGAAAUGCUCACACUUGGGACACUUUCCUCCAGAACCCAGAGGCUAAAUGGAUGUUCACUUUUAGAUGACAGCCCCAGCUGUCCCAGCGAAUAGGCAGCAUCAAGUAUCAGCCAUUUGAGUGAACCAUUUAGAUGUUCCAGUGCAAUUGAGCAGAAGAACCACCCAGCUGAACCUAGUCAAUCCACAGAACCAUGAGAGAUAAUGAAAUGGUUGUUGUUUUAGGCCAUGAAUUUUGCAGUAAUACACAGCAAUAAUAACCAAAACAGAAAUUAGUGAGGUGCUGAAACAACAAAAAGCUAAAACAUUUGGCAUUGGCUUUGGACCUAGAAAGCAGAUAGAAGGUAGUCCAAAGCAGACUGCUAGUGAAAAAUGGAAUGAUAGGGAGAAAAAUGUUUUUGAUGCUGGAAAGGAGGAAGAGGGCUUAUGUUUUUUGUGGACACAAAAAACAGAAAAUAAAGCAAAUGAAAAUUUUUUUUAUUUUAUUGAGCAGCAGAAUAGUGAAAGUGCCAACUGUUUUUCCUGAAUAAAAUAAGGUAUAUGUAGAGAGAGGAACUUAAAAAAAUAGCUUUCAAACAGGAUCUAGAGGGAGUAUUUCUUAACCAAGACUUGUUGGGAAUUUUUCUUAUUCCCAGUCUCCCUCAACAAAAGUCUCUCAAAGUAAGAAAUUACUUUAGGACAAAGAUCAAAUCCAAGGCACUGUCAGUAAAUGUGCAGUUUCAAAGUCAAGAUCUCAGAUAUGUGGCUAUAAGAACUUUUUGUUAAAAACUCAGAAGGAUUUGACAUUUGUAAAAAACUCAGGUGUGCCUCUUUGAAACUUUCUUCUAGACAAUGAGGCUUCUAUAACUCUCUGUUCAAAGUAGGGAAAGGCCUUUUAUAAAGAAACUUUGGUGUCGCUUUUGUCCAGGAAAAUGGCUUAUAUUUUUAUACUCAGGAAAACCACAAAGUAUCUAUAGGAAGUGUACCAAUUUGUACUAAACAAACAAAGAAAAACAGUGACAGUUCAAAAAUUAAGAGAUCUUUGAGACACUCAAUUUUCAACAAAAAGAACACAGCCUGAGAAAGUCACUCAGCUACACAUGUGGGCUGUUUCUUAGGGAAAAGAGAGACAUAUGGAAGAGCCAGAAGCCCAGAGGAAAAAGCUAAGAGGCAGAGAGAAUCAACCCAAGAAAGCUGGAGGAAACCCUAACCAAGGAACCCACAUCUGCUCACCUAAAUUUCAGGAUGUUUAUGAACCAGUGGCUGCUAUUUGCCACUGUACUUUUGGAAUGCGUGUCUAUCAAAUUCUAUUGUCCUUGUCUCACUAUUACAUACUGAGUUUGUGGGGGCCAGAUAACUUGUUUUCUAGUUCAUAGCUCUUCAUCUCAAGAGUAGCCUGAGGUGCCUUAUUCACACCUGGAUCUGAUUUAGAUAAUGGAAUGCUGAACAUUGAACCUAAUUCAGUCACAAAUUGAGACUUUGAGGGUCAUGGGGAAUGGUCAGGGUAUUUUGCAUGUAGAAUGAAUUUAAAUAAUUUAUGACUGAGGGAUCACUGUUGUGGGCUAAAAAUGACCAAACACGUUUUAUUACUCUUUCCAUCAACAUGUGGCAUUUAUUUUCAUUCCCUCUUGAAUCUGGGUUGGCCCUGUGACAGCUUAAAUAGAAUGUGGUGGAAGUGAUGAUAUACCAGUUACAGACACACUUUUUAAGAGGAUUGCAGCAUCCAGGUCCCCCUCUAAGGUUUCUCAUUCUUGGAACAAUUCUUGGAACUCACCCAUCAUACUGUGAGAAACCCAAGCCACAUGUAUAGGACACAUGUUGAUGAUCCAAUUGACAGUCUCAAGCGAACUCUUUGCCAAUAACCAGCAUCAAAUGCUGCCAGGUAAAUGGGAAAUCUUGGCUGUCCCAGCACAAUUGAGCCCAUAGAUGAUGCAGCCAAAUCCAAUUUAUAAGAAACAAGCAACCCCAUUUAGUCCAGUCAACACUAAAAAUAGCGUGAAAUAAUGAAAUAGUUAAGCCAGUAACUUUUGGAGUGGUUUGUUAUAAAAUAAUAGAUAAUUAAAAUAGGAGUCAGCUGUGUAUAGAGGUUAAUGAAGCCAUGAGAUGGUUAAGACAAUCAAUAUGUGACAUGAAAGAAAAAAGGCUAUCUUAGUCUGUUUUCUGUUACCUGAAUUCCAUAAACUGAGUAAUUUAUAAAGAAAAUAAAUGUAUUUAUUUCUUACAGUUCUAGAGGCUGAUAAGUCCAAGCAUAUGGUGCCAGCAUCUGGUGAGGCCUUCUUGCUGUGUAAUCUCAUGGCAGAAGAGUGGAAGGACAAGUGAGCACAUGCAAAAGGGAUUGUACAAGGUGCUGAGCUGGCUUUAUUACAACUUGCUCUUGAGAUAACUACCAACUCUGAUGAUAGGACCUUAAUCUAUUCAUAAGGGUGCUGCCUAUGAUUUGAUUACCUCUUAAAGGCCCCACAUCUUAAUACUUUUACAAUGGCAAUUAAAUGUCAACAUGAGUUUCAGUGGAGACAAACAUUCAAACCAUAGCAAAGGCUUAGAAUAGAAUCCUAGGAAUUCCAAAAUUGCCAGACAGAGAAAAAGAUGACAGCUACAGAAUCUGUGAAAUAUGUUCAUCAAAGUAAAAAGAAAUCCAGACAGUCAGUGACCUGUGAGCCAAUGGAAGAGAGAGACCACACAGGUGAGUGCCAAUGAGAGAUCAAAUGAGAUAUAGGUCAUAGUUACUUGUUCUAUUAAAUGACAUAGAAGAUAAAGGUGGCCUUAGCAAAAAUAGAAUUUCAAACUGUUAGGGAGGAAGCCAGACUGGAAUUAGAGAGGUAGCUGAAGAAUGACAGGGAAUGAGUAGAGAGGAACAGAGAGUAUAGGUUCUUUUGAAGAGCCAGGAAAGUUGGCAUGAAGAAGCUCAAUAUCUCUUUCUGUCUCUCAUUCUCACUCUGUGUGUGUAUGUGUGUGUGUGUGUGUGUGUGGUGGGGAGAAGGAAUAAGAGACAGAAAUCUUGAAACAUUAAAAUUAUCAUUAAAUGAUGGUGAGAAGGAAAGAAAUAUAAAAGUUAUGGUAAGAGAAAAAUAUGAGUAAUAUUUAACUCUUUCCAGAAAGGAUCCUCAAACCAAAGAACAUCCAUUUAGGCACUAUGGCUAGUGUUCAAACACACAAUAACCUCAAAAUAACACUUGCUGUCAAGCAGAAUUUGUAAAACUGAGCUGAAUAAUCAUGGAUUCAAAGGAAUUUAUUUCCUGACAUAUCAAAAUGGCCUUGUUUAAAUCAUGUAAUCGAGUCUAUAAUAAAAAUUUAAUCUUAAGGUUUUAUAGCUCAAAAAAAUCUGUAUUUUAAAUUUUUAGGCAGUUUCUUCUAAGGUGAACAAUGGUAUUUACCUUUUGGGUAGAACAUGACUUAUUUUUGGAAGUAUUGCUUGAGUAAUAUUAAGAAUUAGGAAAUAUCUACUUGCUGAUAUGAGAGUAUACAAAAAUGUUUGCUUGACAAGCUUCCGAGGGCUCUGUAAGAUUGUGGUGAUAUCAGAUAAUGCCCUUCCCAAAUGUGUCUGCUCAUCAAUGAAUUUACACACAUGCAUAACAGCUUCCUGGGAGCAGAAUGGCUUGUACCUGGUUCUGUCUCUGAGUGUUUCAAAGAUAUGGAAGCAUGUUUGAUGAAAGAUCAUGGAAUAGCAAAGAAAAAUAGCACCAAAAAGGCAAACAAGGCAGGGAAAGAUUCUAGACUAGUGAUUUGGGAUCAACACAGGACAGGAUGAUUAGAGAGAAUAGCUUCCUGUGCACACUAUGUAGUUUGAUGCAGAAGCCAUCCUGAUCCAGAUGCCCUGGUACUGUGGGGCGGGACCUUGGAAAAAUUACCCAGAGGAUGUGAAGUGAAAGUUUUGUUACACCAUUCUUCAGAGUGAAGGCAGUUUUCCUACAGAAACCUUCAAAAAAGGAGAUGCAUCCUUCCUUGUUCCUGGCAGUCUUGCAUUUGAGGAAAUCAGUAUGCUCCAACUUAGACUUAUCUUUUAGUCUCCAGAGGCAGAAAAAAAGCAGAAAAGGUUGUUGAAAUUCUUCACAUUGAUUUCAGGGCAAUGAUCUCAAACGGCGCAGUGGGAACCCGCAAAUUUAAGAGGGUAGUUUCCCUGCACAAGCCCUUUUUUUGCCUGCUGCCAUCCGUGUAAGAUGUGACUUGCUCCUCCUUGUCUUCUACCAUGAUUGUGAGGCCUCCCCAGUUAUGUGGAACUCAAAGCUAGAGGAAACCAAAGUCAUAGAACAUCUGAACUCUGUCCAAACAUCGGUCGUAUUUCAAAAUUUCAGAGAUCUCCUGGAAAAAGCCUUAUACCUAAUAUUCUUGUUUGGAGGAAGAAACUGGGAAAAACAUCUGUCAUCUCCUCACCAGACCGAGUCUCGUUCUGUAGUCCAGGCUGGAGUGCAGUGGCGGGAUCUCCACUCACUGCAAGCUCCACCUCCCAGGUUAAAGCCAUUCUCCUGCCUCAGCCUCCUGAGUAGCUGAGACUACAGGCACUCACCACCACACCCGGCUUAUUUUUUGUAUUUUUAGUAGAGACGGGGUUUCACCGUGUUAGCCAGGAUGGUCUCGAUCUCCUGACCUCGUGAUCUGCCUGCCUCGGCCUCCCAAAGUGCUGGUAUUACAGGCGUGAGCCACCACGCCAGGCCACAAUCUUUCAUUUUUAU